This 478-nucleotide ribosomal RNA is filed under the name uncultured bacterium. RNAcentral describes it as "bacterial SSU rRNA". It matches the Rfam family "Bacterial small subunit ribosomal RNA", at positions 28 to 482 of the family's 1533-position model. The record is from RNAcentral.
GACGAACGCUGGCGGCGUGCUUAACACAUGCAAGUCGAACGAAGAGCGAUGGAAGCUUGCUUCUAUCAAUCUUAGUGGCGAACGGGUGAGUAACGCGUAAUCAACCUGCCCUUCAGAGGGGGACAACAGUUGGAAACGACUGCUAAUACCGCAUACGAUCUAACCUCGGCAUCGAGGAUAGAUGAAAGGUGGCCUCUACAUGUAAGCUAUCACUGAAGGAGGGGAUUGCGUCUGAUUAGCUAGUUGGAGGGGUAACGGCCCACCAAGGCGAUGAUCAGUAGCCGGUCUGAGAGGAUGAACGGCCACAUUGGGACUGAGACACGGCCCAGACUCCUACGGGAGGCAGCAGUGGGGAAUCUUCCGCAAUGGACGAAAGUCUGACGGAGCAACGCCGCGUGAGUGAUGACGGCCUUCGGGUUGUAAAGCUCUGUUAAUCGGGACGAAAGGCCUUCUUGCGAAUAGUUAGAAGGAUGGCGNA